This 216-nucleotide long non-coding RNA is filed under the name Lathyrus oleraceus (garden pea). RNAcentral's name for it is "Pisum sativum (pea) long non-coding RNA (PSAT_LNC033080)". Lineage: Eukaryota; Viridiplantae; Streptophyta; Magnoliopsida; Fabales; Fabaceae. The record is from RNAcentral.
UUAAUAAUAUCCUUUUUAGCAUGCUCCUACAAAUUAUGUUUUUUUUUAUAAAAAAAAAAUCUAAAUAAUACCCCUAUAUAAUCAACUUCUAACUGAGAGGAUGACUGGUAUCCUUUGGAUGUGUUAGUGUCGGCUAAAAAUAAAAAUGAAAAGGUGGUCAAAAUUUGGGGUACGACAGUUUCCCCUAUUUAAUCAACUUCUAACUGAGAGGAUGAU